CAAGUCGAACGAGAAAGUCCGCAAGGAUGAGUACAGUGGCGACCGGGUGAGUAACACGUGACUAACCUACCUCUUAGUGGGGAAUAACUCCGGGAAACCGGAGCUAAUACCGCAUAACAUCGCAAGAUCAAAGCCGAAAGGCGCUGGGAGAGGGGGUCGCGGCUGAUUAGCUAGUUGGUAGGGUAACGGCCUACCAAGGCAAAGAUCGGUAUCCGGCCUGAGAGGGCGCACGGACACACUGGAACUGAAACACGGUCCAGACUCCUACGGGAGGCAGCAGUGGGGAAUUUUGCGCAAUGGGGGAAACCCUGACGCAGCAACGCCGCGUGGAGGAUGAAGUCCCUUGGGAUGUAAACUCCUUUCGACCCGGACGAUACUGACGGUACGGGUGGAAGAAGCACCGGCUAACUCUGUGCCAGCAGCCGCGGUAAUACAGAGGGUGCGAGCGUUGUUCGGAAUUAUUGGGCGUAAAGGGCGCGUAGGCGGUGCGGUAAGUCACCUGUGAAAUCUCCUGGCUCAACUGGGAGCUUGCAGGCGAAACUGCCGUGCUGGAGUGUGGGAGAGGUGCGUGGAAUUCCUGGUGUAGCGGUGAAAUGCGUAGAUAUCAGGAGGAACACCUGUGGCGAAAGCGGCGCACUGGACCACAACUGACGCUGAGGCGCGAAAGCUAGGGGAGCAAACAGGAUUAGAUACCCUGGUAGUCCUAGCCCUAAACUAUGGAUGCUUGGUGUGAUCGGUACCCAAUCCGAUCGUGCCGAAGCUAACGCGAUAAGCAUCCCGCCUGGGGAGUACGGUCGCAAGGCUGAAACUCAAAGGAUUGACGGGGGCCCGCACAAGCGGUGA
This 843-nucleotide ribosomal RNA is filed under the name uncultured Acidobacteriota bacterium. Its description in RNAcentral is "bacterial SSU rRNA". It matches the Rfam family "Bacterial small subunit ribosomal RNA", at positions 58 to 935 of the family's 1533-position model. Lineage: Bacteria; Pseudomonadati; Acidobacteriota. The record is from RNAcentral.